RNAcentral lists this ribosomal RNA (468 nucleotides) under uncultured bacterium. RNAcentral's name for it is "partial 16S ribosomal RNA". It matches the Rfam family "Bacterial small subunit ribosomal RNA", at positions 28 to 507 of the family's 1533-position model. The record is from RNAcentral.
GACGAACGCUGGCGGCGUGCUUAACACAUGCAAGUCGAACGGAAAGGCCCUGCUCUUGUGGGGUGCUCGAGUGGCGAACGGGUGAGUAACACGUGAGUAUCCUGCCCUUGUCUUUGUGAUAACUUCAGGAAACUGGGGCUAAUACCGGAUAGGAGCUCCUGCUGCAUGGUGGGGGUUGGAAAGUUUCGGCGGUUGGGGAUGGACUCGCGGCUUAUCCGCUUGUUGGUGGGGUAGUGGCUUACCAAGGGUUCGACGGGUAGCCGGCCUGAGAGGGUGACCGGGGACAAGGGGACUAAGGGACGGCGCAGACUCCUACGGGAGGCAGCAGUGGGGAAUAUUGCGCAAUAGGCGGGAGCCUGAUGCAGAAGCGCCGCGUGCGGGAUGACGGCCUUCGGGUGAUGAACCGCUUUCGCCUGUGACGAAGCGUGAGUGACGGUAAUGGGUAAAGAAGCACCGGCUAACUACGUG